RNAcentral lists this ribosomal RNA (327 nucleotides) under uncultured eukaryote. RNAcentral's name for it is "partial 18S ribosomal RNA". It matches the Rfam family "Eukaryotic small subunit ribosomal RNA", at positions 1470 to 1796 of the family's 1831-position model. The record is from RNAcentral.
CCCUUAGAUGUUCUGGGCCGCACGCGCGCUACACUGACGGAUUCAACGAGCUUACAACCUUGGCCGAAAGGUCUGGGUAAUCUCCAAAAUCCGUCGUGAUGGGGAUAGAUUAUUGCAAUUAUUAAUCUUCAACGAGGAAUGCCUAGUAAGCGCAAGUCAUCAGCUCGCGUUGAUUACGUCCCUGCCCUUUGUACACACCGCCCGUCGCUCCUACCGAUUGAAUGGUCCGGUGAAGCGUUUGGACUAUGGUUUUCUGAUGGUCCGCCGUUGGAUUACCGUGGGAAGUUCGUUAAACCUUAUCAUUUAGAGGAAGGAGAAGUCGUAACA